Molecule: ribosomal RNA, 493 nt
Filed under: Scinax boulengeri (Boulenger's snouted treefrog)
Lineage: Eukaryota; Metazoa; Chordata; Amphibia; Anura; Hylidae
Description: partial 12S small subunit ribosomal RNA
Rfam family: Bacterial small subunit ribosomal RNA
Source: RNAcentral
GCUCAGCCGUAAACCUUAACUUACAUCCAAAUCGCCAGGGAACUACGAGCUAACGCUUAAAACCCAAAGGACUUGACGGUGCCCCAUAUCCACCUAGAGGAGCCUGUCCUGUAAUCGAUAACCCCCGUUUAACCUCACCACUCUUUGCCUAUCAGUCUGUAUACCUCCGUCGUCAGCUUACCGCGUGAGCGCAACUCAGUAAGCGAGAGAGUCUCCGCUAAAACGUCAGGUCAAGGUGCAACUUAUAGAGUGGGAAGAGAUGGGCUACACUCUCUAACUUAGAACAAACGAAAGACUACUUAUGAAACCUUAGUCAGAAGGCGGAUUUAGAAGUAAACAGAGACAAGAGCGCUCCGUUUAACAUGGCCCUGGGGUGUGUACACACCGCCCGUCACCCUCUUCGAAUGCACCUAAAUAGUAUUUAACACGAUUUAUGUAAUAAAGAAGAGGCAAGUCGUAACAUGGUAAGCUUACCGGAAGGUGUGCUUGGAAA